RNAcentral lists this microRNA precursor (60 nucleotides) under Macaca mulatta (Rhesus monkey). RNAcentral's name for it is "Mml-Mir-430-P17_pre stem-loop". It matches the Rfam family "mir-515 microRNA precursor family", at positions 16 to 75 of the family's 87-position model. The record is from RNAcentral. Lineage: Eukaryota; Metazoa; Chordata; Mammalia; Primates; Cercopithecidae.
CUCCAGAGGGAAGUAUUUUCUGUUGUCUGAAGGAAAAGAAAGUGCUUCCCUUUGGACUGU